Molecule: ribosomal RNA, 468 nt
Filed under: uncultured bacterium
Lineage: Bacteria
Description: partial 16S ribosomal RNA
Rfam family: Bacterial small subunit ribosomal RNA
Source: RNAcentral
GACGAACGCUGGCGGCGUGCUUAACACAUGCAAGUCGAACGGUGAAGCUCCAGCUUGCUGGAGUGGAUCAGUGGCGAACGGGUGAGUAACACGUGAGCAACCUGCCCCUGACUCUGGAAUAAGCGCUGGAAACGGCGUCUAAUACUGGAUACGAGAAGGGUCCGCAUGGGCACUUUCUGGAAAGUUUUUCGGUUGGGGAUGGGCUCGCGGCCUAUCAGCUUGUUGGUGAGGUAAUGGCUCACCAAGGCGACGACGGGUAGCCGGCCUGAGAGGGCGACCGGCCACACUGGGACUGAGACACGGCCCAGACUCCUACGGGAGGCAGCAGUGGGGAAUAUUGCACAAUGGGCGAAAGCCUGAUGCAGCGACGCCGCGUGAGGGAUGACGGCCUUCGGGUUGUAAACCUCUUUCAGCAGGGAAGAAGCGAAAGUGACGGUACCUGCAGAAAAAGCACCGGCUAACUACGUG